GACGAACGCUGGCGGCGUGCUUAACACAUGCAAGUCGAGCGGUAAGGCCCUUUCGGGGGUACACGAGCGGCGAACGGGUGAGUAACACGUGGGUGACCUGCCCUUAGCUCUGGGAUAAGCCUGGGAAACUGGGUCUAAUACCGGAUAUGACCUCAUGACUCAUGUUGUGGGGUGGAAAGCCUUGUGCGGCUAGGGAUGGGCCCGCGGUCUAUCAGCUUGUUGGUGGGGUAAUUGCCUACCAAGACGACGACGGGUAGCCGGCCUGAGAGGGCGACCGGCCACACUGGGACUGAGACACGGCCCAGACUCCUACGGGAGGCAGCAGUGGGGAAUCUUGCGCAAUGGGCGAAAGCCUGACGCAGCGACGCCGCGUGAGGGAUGACGGCCUC
RNAcentral lists this ribosomal RNA (389 nucleotides) under uncultured bacterium. RNAcentral's name for it is "bacterial SSU rRNA". It matches the Rfam family "Bacterial small subunit ribosomal RNA", at positions 28 to 418 of the family's 1533-position model. The record is from RNAcentral.